Molecule: long non-coding RNA, 637 nt
Organism: Manacus vitellinus (golden-collared manakin)
Lineage: Eukaryota; Metazoa; Chordata; Aves; Passeriformes; Pipridae
Exons: 2
Source: RefSeq, a predicted model, not a curated record
GGGCUGUUCCCCCUGUAGGGCUGGUGAUAGUCCCAACUAGAGUGAUGGGAAAAAUGGUUAAAAGGGAGCCCCAAAAGCUGGAAAUCCUCCUGGAGGCUCUUGGCCAACAGAGUUUCCUGAGUUGCCCCUGAAAGAAGGAUAGUGACAGCUUUUGAGUGCUAGUAGAUGCUUUUAAUAGAUAGCCUUGAGUGUGUCCUUGUUGCACCAGUAGGCCUUGUCCAAGUCCCCAUAUUCCAGGAGAUAUGCAUAUUGAAGUUUAAAAUGAUCUCCAUAAUCCUUUGUUGGCUUGAGGCUCUCCCCUCAGGAACUGCAGGAACUCCUGGUGCCGCCUGGGCCGAUGGAUUGGACGCCCCAGCCCCUCCGUUCCUGCCCAGCCACUGGGGCCGUGUCCAGUGGUGGCACUGCCAGCCCUGCAGUGGGAUGUAGCCUGGAAACUGCACAGAACUGAGCCAAGGAAUUUAAAGGGACCAACCAAGGGAGGUGAAGAAAGAAGGAAGAAGGGAAGUGAGGCAGUAGCCAAGCAGCACCAAGUGCCUGUGUAAGCAGGUGAGUUGUGUUGAGGUUCCUAAGGCAGGCACUGAGGACUUUGAGGGCUCCAGACAGAGCAGAACUGCGAAGGCCCUCGGUGAAGUCCCUU